GACGAACGCUGGCGGCGUGCUUAACACAUGCAAGUCGAACGGUCAAGCACCUUCCUUUUGGUUGUUGUGUAUGCGUGGCGAACGUGUGAGUCACACGUGAGUAACCUGUCCCCUUCUUCUGUAUAUCCGCAUGACAGUGUGGCUAAUACGGGAUAUUCUGCGCCUGUCUCAUGGCGUGCCUGGGAAUGAUUUUGUUUCGGUGUGUGGUUGGCUCGCGGCCUAUCUGCUUGUUGGUGGGGUGAUGGACUACCAAGGCGGUGACGAGUAGCCGGGCUGAGAGGGUGGACGAUCACAGUGGGAAUGCGACACGGCGAAGACUACUACGGACGGCAGCAGUGGGGAAUAUUGAACAAGGGGAGCAAGGAUGAUGCAGCGACGCCGCGUGAAGGAUGGAGGCCUUCGGGUUGUACACCUCUUUCGCCAGUGAAGCAGGCCGGUCGUUUUUGUGGGUGGGUUGACGGUAGCUGGAUAAGAAGCGCCGGCUAACUACGUG
RNAcentral lists this ribosomal RNA (493 nucleotides) under uncultured bacterium. RNAcentral's name for it is "partial 16S ribosomal RNA". It matches the Rfam family "Bacterial small subunit ribosomal RNA", at positions 28 to 507 of the family's 1533-position model. The record is from RNAcentral.